Molecule: ribosomal RNA, 492 nt
Filed under: uncultured bacterium
Lineage: Bacteria
Description: partial 16S ribosomal RNA
Rfam family: Bacterial small subunit ribosomal RNA
Source: RNAcentral
AGUGAACGCUGGCGGUAGGCCUAACACAUGCGAGUCGAACGGCAGCACAGUAAGAGCUUGCUCUUACGGGUGGCGAGUGGCGGACGGGUGAGGAAUACAUCGGAAUCUACUUUUUCGUGGGGGAUAACGUAGGGAAACUUACGCUAAUACCGCAUACGACCUACGGGUGAAAGCAGGGGAUCUUCGGACCUUGCGCGAUUGAAUGAGCCGAUGUCGGGUUAGCUAGUUGGCGGGGUAAAGGCCCACCAAGGCGACGAUCCGUAGCUGGUCUGAGAGGAUGAUCAGCCACACUGGAACUGAGACACGGUCCAGACUCCUACGGGAGGCAGCAGUGGGGAAUAUUGGACAAUGGGCGCAAGCCUGAUCCAGCCAUACCGCGUGGGUGAAGAAGGCCUUCGGGUUGUAAAGCCCUUUUGUUGGGAAAGAAAAGCAGCAGGUUAAUACCCCGCUGUUCUGACGGUACCCAAAGAAUAAGCACCGGCUAACUUCGUG